AUUCCUACGGGAGGCAGCAGUGGGGAAUAUUGCGCAAUGGGCGAAAGCCUGACGCAGCGACGCCGCGUGAGGGAUGAAGGCCUUCGGGUUGUAAACCUCUUUCAGCAGGGACGAAGCGAGAGUGACGGUACCUGCAGAAGAAGCACCGGCCAACUACGUGCCAGCAGCCGCGGUAAUACGUAGGGUGCAAGCGUUGUCCGGAAUUAUUGGGCGUAAAGAGCUCGUAGGCGGUCUGUCACGUCGGCUGUGAAAACUCGGGGCUCAACCCCGUGCCUGCAGUCGAUACGGGCAGACUAGAGUGCUGUAGGGGAGACUGGAAUUCCUGGUGUAGCGGUGAAAUGCGCAGAUAUCAGGAGGAACACCGGUGGCGAAGGCGGGUCUCUGGGCAGUAACUGUCGCUGAGGAGUGAAAGCGUGGGGAGCAAACAGGAUUAGAUACCCUGGUAGUCCACGCCGUAAACGGUGGGUGCUAGGUGUAGGUCGUAUUCCACGCGAUCUGUGCCGCAGCUAACGCAUUAAGCACCCCGCCCGGGGAGUACGGCCGCAAGGCUAAAACUCAAAGGAAUUGACGGGGGCCCGCACAAGCAGCGGAGCAUGUGGCUUAAUUCGACGCAACGCGAAGAACCUUACCAAGGCUUGACAUGCAGGGAAAUCUCACAGAGAUGUGAGGUCCGCAAGGGUCCUGCACAGGUGGUGCAUGGUUGUCGUCAGCUCGUGUCGUGAGAUGUUGGGUUAAGUCCCGCAACGAGCGCAACCCUCGUUCUAUGUUGCCAGCGCGUCAUGGCGGGGACUCAUAGGAGACUGCCGGGGUCAACUCGGAGGAAGGUGGGGACGACGUCAAAUCAUCAUGCCCCUUAUGUCUUGGGCUGCACACAUGCUACAAUGGCCGAUACAAAGGGCUGCAAAGCCGCGAGGUGGAGCGAAUCCCAAAAAGUCGGUCUCAGUUCGGAUUGGGGUCUGCAACUCGACCCCAUGAAGUCGGAGUUGCUAGUAAUCGCAGAUCAGCAACGCUGCGGUGAAUACGUACCCGGGCCUUGUACACACCGCC
This 1047-nucleotide ribosomal RNA is filed under the name uncultured Blastococcus sp. RNAcentral's name for it is "bacterial SSU rRNA". It matches the Rfam family "Bacterial small subunit ribosomal RNA", at positions 335 to 1394 of the family's 1533-position model. The record is from RNAcentral. Lineage: Bacteria; Bacillati; Actinomycetota; Actinomycetes; Geodermatophilales; Geodermatophilaceae.